AUGAACGCUGGCGGCGUGCCUAAUACAUGCAAGUCGAGCGAACGGACGAGAAGCUUGCUUCUCCGAUGUUAGCGGCGGACGGGUGAGUAACACGUGGAUAACCUACCUAUAAGCCUGGGAUAACUUCGGGAAACCGGAGCUAAUACCGGAUAAUAUUUUGAACCGCAUGGUUCAAAAGUGAAAGACGGUCUUGCUGUCACUUAUAGAUGGAUCCGCGCUGCAUUAGCUAGUUGGUAAGGUAACGGCUUACCAAGGCAACGAUGCAUAGCCGACCUGAGAGGGUGAUCGGCCACACUGGAACUGAGACACGGUCCAGACUCCUACGGGAGGCAGCAGUAGGGAAUCUUCCGCAAUGGGCGAAAGCCUGACGGAGCAACGCCGCGUGAGUGAUGAAGGUCUUCGGAUCGUAAAACUCUGUUAUUAGGGAAGAACAUAUGUGUAAGUAACUGUGCACAUCUUGACGGUACCUAAUCAGAAAGCCACGGCUAACUACGUG
RNAcentral lists this ribosomal RNA (496 nucleotides) under uncultured bacterium. RNAcentral's name for it is "partial 16S ribosomal RNA". It matches the Rfam family "Bacterial small subunit ribosomal RNA", at positions 29 to 507 of the family's 1533-position model. The record is from RNAcentral.